This 274-nucleotide ribosomal RNA is filed under the name uncultured bacterium. RNAcentral describes it as "partial 16S ribosomal RNA". It matches the Rfam family "Bacterial small subunit ribosomal RNA", at positions 523 to 796 of the family's 1533-position model. The record is from RNAcentral.
ACACGUAAGGUGCGAGCGUUGUUCGGAAUCACUGGGCGUAAAGGACGCGUAGGCGGGUUUGUAAGUCAGGUGUGAAAUCCUACAGCUCAACUGUAGAACUGCACUUGAAACUACAGACCUAGAGUAUGGAAGGGGCAGAUGGAAUUAGUGGUGUAGGGGUAAAAUCCGUAGAUAUCACUAGGAAUACCGAAAGCGAAGGCGAUCUGCUGGGACAUUACUGACGCUGAGGCGUGAAAGCGUGGGGAGCAAACAGGAUUAGAAACCCCAGUAGUCC